CCUACGGGAGGCAGCAGUGGGGAAUAUUGCACAAUGGGCGCAAGCCUGAUGCAGCGACGCCGCGUGCGGGAUGGAGGCCUUCGGGUUGUAAACCGCUUUUGUUCAAGGGCAAGGCACGGUCUUUGGCCGUGUUGAGUGGAUUGUUCGAAUAAGCACCGGCUAACUACGUGCCAGCAGCCGCGGUAAUACGUAGGGUGCAAGCGUUAUCCGGAUUUAUUGGGCGUAAAGGGCUCGUAGGCGGUUCGUCGCGUCCGGUGUGAAAGUCCAUCGCUUAACGGUGGAUCCGCGCCGGGUACGGGCGGGCUUGAGUGCGGUAGGGGAGACUGGAAUUCCCGGUGUAACGGUGGAAUGUGUAGAUAUCGGGAAGAACACCAAUGGCGAAGGCAGCAUACCGGCGCCCAACUGACGCUGAAGCACGAAAGCGUGGGUAUCGAACAGGAUUAGAUACCCGGGUAGUC
Molecule: ribosomal RNA, 458 nt
Filed under: uncultured bacterium
Lineage: Bacteria
Description: partial 16S ribosomal RNA
Rfam family: Bacterial small subunit ribosomal RNA
Source: RNAcentral